AGAAAGACCAUCUGAAACGCUUUCAGACCUCCAGAGGUUAAUUGAUAAUUCUAAAAAAUUAAUUUACUUCAACUUUUUGGAAAUUUAUUCGAGCCUUCUAAAAUUUCACUUUCCACCUCUGUCACCGUCUCGGGCUGCUUCGUAAAAAUUCGCAUCUAUUUCCAGAGAGCGGGAUGCCGGGUUUCAUUGCGGGGGUGGCCGCGAACGAGUUUUGGCGGAAGUACGCGAACGAUCCGAUGGACGCGCGCUAUACGAGAACUUCGGCGCGAAGCUGGAGGUGAAGAUGGGCGACGUGGUCGUGACGUCAGUAUGGCCAACGAGCAAGACUGUAUGCGCCCAUGGCACUGGUUCUUCACCCUCUGGCCGGCCAUGGCUGGGAACCCGGGUAAGCCAGACGUACCAGCCCAGAUGAUCCGCUUCCUGCCGACGAGGAAAACUCUUUUCGCGAGCGUCAAUCCUCAGCUCUUCAACCCACCAUAAAGUACCAGACAAGGGUCCUCAUGAACCGCGAGAAGAAAGCAGGACACAUCGGACUCGUGGGUGUUUUGAUCGCUUAUAUGAUGGGGCAAAAGGAGAAGAUAUACUUCAAUCCCUUUUUCUGCAGCGCGAAACACUACGUGGAGUACCUUUCUCUGGGCCAGGUCACAGGAGGACGCUGGUGGCAACCCCUGUACAACCGACUUAGCAAGAGAUGCCCUGUUAGGAACCUAGUAACCCCCGAAAUGCUGGACGAGAUCUACAAGAGUAAGACUUUCACGUUGAAAGGGAAAGUUAGUGACGCGAGGGUUACACUGCAGGUUACAGAAUGGCCAGAGGAGAUUCAAUUCUUGUACCAACAGCACAAGCAAAAGAAAAAAUAAGCAGAAAAUUUAUAAAAGGGGCGCUUCAGACUCGACAGUUAAAUGCAGAGACAAGAGACCCUCCACUGGCCGCUUGGCGAAAGGUAGAAGCUUUUACUUUCAAGGAUUCAACAUUUCCUUAUGGACAAUUAUAAGGUAGCAACAGUCAUCACUCUUUUUUCGGCUGUUAACCUACCUGCAUGGUGGAUGAUGAGCUUCGGGUGACGUCAUGAGUCAAACAAGUAUCUCAAACUUUGGCUUGUUUGCAAAACAAACUACCAGCACUUUGUUAAACAUCAACCAUGUAGGUAAGUCAACAGUUUAAUGUUGAAGUCUCGAAAGUAAAGCGUCCACCAUAGCCGAGAUACGAGUAGAGGGUCUCUUGUCUCUGGUUAAAUGAGAUGCCACUAAAAUAGUUGUGGAUCAGAUAGGUUAAUUUUAUUAUGCAAAGAAUCACCUGCUCAUGAGGUCCAAACACCGAAAAACAAAGGGUGCUUACUUAAUAUUCUGGAUGUAAAAAAUUGUGCGCCAACUCACUAAACACUGAGUCAACCGCCACAGCAGUUAGCUUUACAUCUUGGCAUUGCUAAAGUAACUGUUGUGGCGGUUUUUGUGAGUUGUCGCACUUUUUUUUACAUUCAGAAUGUUAAGUCAGCAUCCUUUUUUGGUGAAGUAAGUAACGCCUAGAUUCAGGAUAAUGUGUAAAUUUUAAUUAGUAAAUGAGUAAAUUUUAAUUUUUUUCUAUAUUGAAAAUAUAGUGUUUUUAUUCUAGACUAAUACUUUUUACCUAGAUCA
Molecule: long non-coding RNA, 1634 nt
Filed under: Bemisia tabaci
Lineage: Eukaryota; Metazoa; Arthropoda; Insecta; Hemiptera; Aleyrodidae
Description: lncRNA ENSSWEETPG005344
Source: RNAcentral